UAUGCCCAAAAACUAAAAAGCAGGAGUAUUUGCCCUAAAUUUCAUCCACAAGCAUUUAAAAGAAAACCUUACAAUUGAACAUCGUCUGUUCUCUUUCCUUUUGGAUUGUUUUCCUCAUCACGAUAGAAUUUUCAAGAAUCUACACAAAAUUAAGCCCAGAUAUAUUGGACGAGGUCGCAUUUGUUGAGCCGUAAAUGUGAGGAAUCGUUCUAUUUUAUGGUGAAAAUGGAAAUUAGGAAUCAUUUUCUCGAUUAACACUGGUAUAUUAGACGAAGUUGGAACUUCUGAAACUACUUGCUGCUGAUAGUUGAAGGCAUCGAUCUUAAGAUUCACCACGACUUUACAUUGCCAUAUGGAAGAAGAAUAUCGUAAAGAAAUCUCUUUUGCAUUUUUACACAAUUCCAAGUAAAUCUGUAGAAAAAUAUCGGUAAUUGAAUUUGAAUUGUGGCCAAAAGUAAACUCGAUCUACUGUACGAUGAAGAGUUUUUAUAUAUUUGUCAUCUAUGUUUGAAUGCAUUUGGUUUUGUGGAAUUUAUUGAUAUUCGAUAUCUUUAUGUAAUUACUUUUUAAGUAUAGGUUGUACAAGACGUGUUUCUCGAAGUUUAUUUGAAAUA
Molecule: long non-coding RNA, 614 nt
Organism: Solanum pennellii
Lineage: Eukaryota; Viridiplantae; Streptophyta; Magnoliopsida; Solanales; Solanaceae
Exons: 3
Source: RefSeq, a predicted model, not a curated record